Molecule: non-coding RNA, 1788 nt
Organism: Poecilia reticulata (guppy)
Lineage: Eukaryota; Metazoa; Chordata; Actinopteri; Cyprinodontiformes; Poeciliidae
Source: RefSeq, a predicted model, not a curated record
UUCAUUUCUCUGUCAACUCAUGUCACAUGACUUGAAUUGACCAACAAUUAAAGCAGACCUGCUGCACYUGCUGAUCUACUGGUGUAACAGAUUGUGGAAAAGCAUCAUCAGCAGCACUGGACCAAUCAGGAGAGAGAAGACACAGAGGACUGAGGAGACAGAAAAAACAUCCUGCUGAAAAUCCAGAGGCUUAACAGGAGGAGACCUGAGGACGUGUGCAGAAUAAAGAGACGGACAUCGUGUGAAGUGGAUYCUCAGCCUGUUAACCUCCACCUUCAACACCACCUGUAAGGUGGAGGUAGAUAAGAGAACCCACUUGACGAAAAAAUUGACCAACAAUUAAAGCAGAAGACCUGCUGCACCUGCUGAUCUACUGGUGUAACAGAUUGUGGAAAAKCAUCACUGAGACAAGACAACAGCACUGGACCAACCAGGACUGAGGAGACACAGAAAAUCCUGCUGGAAAUCCAGAGAUGAAGUUUCCUUGUGCAGCAAAGGGACACCUGAGGACACAGAAUAAAGAAGGACCAUGUGAAACUCAUGCAGAGGAUGGUCAGAGUUGUCCAUAGCUUUCUUGACUCUUAUGAAGAAUCCUUCUUUGCAUCAUCAUCUCCAGAGGUUCCACAGUCGUCUCCAGAACAGAACCAGAACAAAUCCAGCCCUCUUUAUCAGAUUGUUGAGCCUUUAGAGAUUCAUGGCUCUGAUGCUGCUGCACCAACAGAUGAUUGCAGAAGAGACAAGGCUCUCAACAGCAGACUUGUAGAUCUGCAGCAUCGUGCUGCAAACCUUGAAGGCUCUUGGCUUCCUGGAGAAGUGCAGUCUGCUCUGUCUCUUUGUAUAGACGCUUCACUGUUGCAUCUCCAGUCCAGUCUGUGUUCCAGAUGAACACAGAGGUAUUUAUAUUCCUGAACCACCUCCACAUCUUCUCCCAUGAUGGAAAUAGGGUUUGAUCCAAGCCUGUUUCUCCUGAAAUCAACAACCAUCUUUGUUGUUUUGUUUGCAGUCAAGAUUAGAUGAUUGUUCCCACACCAGGCCACAAAGCGGUCCACCAGACCUCUGAACUCGGCAUCGUCUUCCUCUGAUGCAACAGCUGCUGAGUCAUCUUGAGUAUUUCUGUAGAUGACAGAAGUCGGACUUGUGCUAGAAGACUGAAGUGUGUAGAAUGAAAAGGAAUGGUGAGAGUACAGAGCCCUGUGGUGUUCCUGUGCUGCUGACCAUCUGGUUAGACACACAGUCCUUCAGUCUCACACUGAGGUUUGUUUGUCAGGGUCCACCCAUCUGAACAAUUGGGUUUGCGGUUAUUGCUAACGCCACCUUGUGGCAGCGGUAAAACAUUACAACUAGACGGCUUUAAAUAAGCGGUAACAUUUAUUUGAACACAUUGAAAUGAUGAAGGAAUGAUGGUCAGACUUUAAUUUAUGAUCAUAAGCAGCACUGACAGAUGUGGCUUGUUACACUUGUUAUAAAUGUAAAAUUCUCAGACAUCUUUGAGUCUUCCCAGCUUGGAGAAGCUAACUUUACAGAAAGCUAGGAGUGUUUUUCUGGAAAGUUAGCAUGUUUCAGAAUUCUCCGACUUCUCUUCACUGGAUUAAACUGCACUGUAAAAGGCACUGCUUAAAACCCACUUUUUACAGCUUUUAUUUUGUCUGCAAAUAUUAAAAUAUGCACKUUAUUCAUCUAAAUCAGCUCCAGUUUACAAUACAGAUAUGAGRMGCAGGGUUUCCCCCAGUGCCCUGCGACAGACUGGCGACCUGUCCAGGGUGACCCCGCCUCUCUCCCAAAACGUUA